Molecule: ribosomal RNA, 505 nt
Filed under: uncultured bacterium
Lineage: Bacteria
Description: partial 16S ribosomal RNA
Rfam family: Bacterial small subunit ribosomal RNA
Source: RNAcentral
GACGAACGCUGGCGGCGUGCCUAAUACAUGCAAGUGGGACGCAAGGAAACACACUGUGCUUGCACACCGUGUUUUCUUGAGUCGCGAACGGGUGAGUAACGCGUAGGUAACCUGCCUAUUAGCGGGGGAUAACUAUUGGAAACGAUAGCUAAUAUCGCAUAAUAUUAAUUAUUGCAUGAUAAUUGAUUGAAAGAUGCAAGCGCAUCACUAGUAGAUGGACCUGCGUUGUAUUAGCUAGUUGGUAAGGUAAGAGCUUACCAAGGCGACGAUACAUAGCCGACCUGAGAGGGUGAUCGGCCACACUGGGACUGAGACACGGCCCAGACUCCUACGGGAGGCAGCAGUAGGGAAUCUUCGGCAAUGGACGAAAGUCUGACCGAGCAACGCCGCGUGAGUGAAGAAGGUUUUCGGAUCGUAAAGCUCUGUUGUAAGUCAAGAACGUGUGUGAGAGUGGAAAGUUCACACAGUGACGGUAGCUUACCAGAAAGGGACGGCUAACUACGUG